CUUGGUACAGUGGAGAAACAGAAGGCCCAGAAUUUCUUGCCGUUUAUUACACUGUAAAGUGGGAGCAUACACAGAUGUGGAGUGAGGAAGAUAGCAAAGCCCUCUUAAACACAUGUUUGGAUCAUGGACAGACACAGGACUUCAUAAGAAGAGUUCACCAUGCAUGGCGUGGACACACUCCAAGCUGUUCACACUGGCUUGUUUCCAAAUGGGCACAAAUCCCCUCUGCAUACCCAAGUGAAUGAUCAUCUCCAGUGCAGUGGCUGAGCUACGCGAUUCUCCCAUAACUGUCAUGUUGAUGGUAAAACAACCUGAAGAAAUGAGAAAAAGCCUGGUUGGUUAUCAUUUCCUUCCAACUAUCCUUCACACUUCACUGCACCCAUGAGUAAAAUUUGUGUAAUGAAUGCACUGGGUCUGAGCAAUAUUGAUGCCACUGUGUACAAGAAAUAAUCAAGAAGUUAACAAAGCAACGAUGGCGUCUUUGAGAGGGCAUUGCCACAGACACACUUCAGCCUAAUGAGAGGAGUCCAGGAUGAUGAACUCUUCAAUCUGGAUGAUGUACUUCUAUGGGCAACAUGUAAGAACAGAUCAGCUUUUGUGGUUGUUGAUUAACAUCGAGCUUAAUGCCGAACACAUUUAACUUGUCUAUGUCAUGCCUUCAAAGUCCUCAGAGACAUACACCAUCAACCUGAACAUUGAUUCUUAAUGUGAUGAAUUCUUUCCAUGAUAUAAUAAUAAUAAUAAUAGAACAGUAGUAAAGACUGAUACUUAUUCUUUGCUUUGUGCUAGACAUUUUACACAUCAUGCUUUAUAUGUAUUAACUCAUUUUAAUCUUCACAAAAGUGUUUUGAGUUACCUACUAUUAUUUUCUCUAAUUUACAGAUGAGGAAAUUGAAGGCAAGUAAGGUAAAUCAUGUGUUCAAGGUCACACAACCAGUAGGGAGUAAUGUCAAGCUUAACCAAGGGAAUUAGGCCAGGCACGGUGGCUCA
RNAcentral lists this long non-coding RNA (990 nucleotides) under Homo sapiens (human). RNAcentral describes it as "HSALNT0131046". Lineage: Eukaryota; Metazoa; Chordata; Mammalia; Primates; Hominidae. The record is from RNAcentral.